CUCCAUUGGGUGAGCUGGAGAAAGGCAGCUUAUCCAAAGUCUCAAGGGGCUUGGGUUUUCGAGAAUUUAGGCUUUUCAAUUGUGCUUGUUUGGCAAAAUAAUGUUGGAGCUUUAUCCAAAAUCCAUCAAAUCUGUGGGCUCAGAUAGUUAAAAGUAUUUAUUUUCCCCAUUGUUCGUUUUGGCAAGCUUCUUCUUUGAGGAAAAAUAAGUCUUGGAUUUGGCAAGGUUUGCUAGCAGGGUGGGAUGUUUUAAAAGAGGGUUUUCGCCACAAUAUUGGGGAUGGUAAGGAUACCUUGUUAUGGUUGGAUCCGUGGUUACCUUCAGCUCCAAAUUUUAAAGUGUUAAGACCAAUGAAUUGUCCCUCUCAUAUAAAUGUUGUUGCUGUUCUUACAAUCCAUCACUCUCUUACUUGGAAUCACAAUUGGGUGGAUGUUCUAUUUGCUCCCAAUGUUGCCAAGGAGAUUAAGAAGAUCCCAGUCGCACCUUUAGGUUGUAAAGAUUCCUUUGCUUGGCACUUUGAUAAAUCUGGUGUAUAUUCUGUCCGCUCUGGAUAUAAAUUCCUGGCUCAAAAGGCAAGGAACACUUAUUCUAAUUCAUCUACUUCAAUCAGCAAGCUAUGGAUUAGUCUUGGAAGAAGUUAUGGAGUAUUCCUAUUCAACCUAAAAUCAAAGUUUUUAUUUAGAAGGCUUUACUUGAUGCUAUUCUAGUAUGAGACUGUCUAGCAAGAAGGGGAGUCCCUGUUGAUUCGAAUUGCUCAGUAUGUGGUAAUACUGCUGAGACAGUGUAACACAUGCUAUUUUGGUGUGAUCAUGCUCGAGCUACUUGGUUUUCAAGCCUAUGUAGCUACAAGCCUAACCCUAUUGGCUUCACAUCCUUUGCUCAAUGGGGGUCUAAGUUGAUCUCAGAAUUUCAUAAUGAUGUAGAAGCUUGGUGUGUAGUGGCAAUUACGUGUUGGAUGAUUUGGAAAGAAAGGAACAAGGCUGUUUUUGAUCAUAUAUCUCCUAAUCCCAUUAAUGUACCUCGUAAGAUUACAAAUGUUGUUAAGGAACUUCUCCUGCUGCCAGAGACUAUUAAUAGUCCCACUCGUUGUAGCAAUAGUCCAGUUAAUUCUGUUUGGGUAGCUCCUCCGCGUGGUUUUUUAAAACUAAAUGGUGAUGUUUCUUGGAAAGGAAAUCAGAUGGAAUCAGUAGCAGCUGUUAUAGUGAGCAAUCAUAUGGGAGAUCUUCUGGAUGGCAAAGCUUCCUUUAUCUGUGCGAGUUCUCCACUAGCAGGGGAAGCAAGGGCUAUGCUAGAAGCUUUGAAGUUAGCUACAGCAAUGGCAGUCAAGUUUAUUGUUCUUGAAACUGAUAAUGCAG
Molecule: unclassified non-coding RNA, 1355 nt
Filed under: Hevea brasiliensis (rubber tree)
Lineage: Eukaryota; Viridiplantae; Streptophyta; Magnoliopsida; Malpighiales; Euphorbiaceae
Source: RNAcentral